ACCCUAUCCUUCCCCAUUUUUGAGCAGCCGCACAUAUUGGAGUUCCCCUCAUGUUCUUUGUUUGCUCUGCUAAUAUACAACACACACAAAAUGGAGGUUAGAGGCUUCAUCAUCUCCACAUGACAAAAGAAAACCUAACCUCUCAUCUCCUCACUUUUACCAAAACCCUAGACCAAACAUAUGUGCAGCCGACAGCACCUCCUCCCUCUCCGACCUGAACUCCGACGCAGCGGCAACGGCUCUGCCAACGGCCGCUCUCGUUCCUCCGACACCGCACACCCCUCUCCUCCUCUUCGAUUACCGCCGCCGCACACCCGUACCCCUCUUCUUCAUCUGCGACCGCCGACGAAGAAGAUCAGACACACUGAUUACGACGAGGAAGAUGAGCCACACUGAAGUUGAGGAUGGCAGUGGUGUCGACGGCAACCAGAGCCGACGCACGGUGGCAGCCGGCGUCGACAGAGCCGGUGGUUCAGUUCUGAUUCCGGGUUCGAGCUUUGGCCGACAUCAAUCAACUCCGUUCGACAUCCAUUCGUUUCGAGUCUCGGGAUUCGGGUCAGUUUGAAACUCGGUCAACCGCGGUCAAGUUUGGUUCAUUCCAGAUUGGGUUCGUCAUAUUCGGAUAACCAUUUCGAAUGUUCUCUUGGAUUUUUUUCUCCAUCUCUACUCGUGAGUUAUUUCAAGGAAUCCUCAUGCGCAACCAAUGAUUGUGACAGAUGAAUCCAGUAGGAUUACCUAGAAACACAUUUAAACCUUGUUGCUCAUUGUAUUGUAAUUUACUUUCAAUCCUGUUGUAUUCUGGUUCAAAUACUUGUAAUAAUGCAUUAUUAAUGAAAUGAAUUAUAAUUAUUUGAAUA
This is a long non-coding RNA of Helianthus annuus (common sunflower), 857 nucleotides long. RefSeq lists it as uncharacterized. The transcript has 3 exons. The record is from RefSeq and is a predicted model, not a curated record. NCBI's taxonomy places the organism in Eukaryota, Viridiplantae, Streptophyta, Magnoliopsida, Asterales, Asteraceae.